UGGGGAAUAUUGCACAAUGGGCGCAAGCCUGAUGCAGCCAUGCCGCGUGUGUGAAGAAGGCCUUCGGGUUGUAAAGCACUUUCAGCGAGGAGGAAGGGUAGUGUGUUAAUAGCACAUUGCAUUGACGUUACUCGCAGAAGAAGCACCGGCUAACUCCGUGCCAGCAGCCGCGGUAAUACGGAGGGUGCAAGCGUUAAUCGGAAUUACUGGGCGUAAAGCGCACGCAGGCGGUUUGUUAAGUCAGAUGUGAAAUCCCCGCGCUUAACGUGGGAACUGCAUUUGAAACUGGCAAGCUAGAGUCUUGUAGAGGGGGGUAGAAUUCCAGGUGUAGCGGUGAAAUGCGUAGAGAUCUGGAGGAAUACCGGUGGCGAAGGCGGCCCCCUGGACAAAGACUGACGCUCAGGUGCGAAAGCGUGGGGAGCAAAACAGGAUUAGAUACCCUGGUAGUCCACGCUGUAAACGAUGUCGACUUGGAGGUUGUGCCCUUGAGGCGUGGCUUCCGGACUAACGCGUUAAGUCGACCGCCUGGGGGAGUACGGCCGCAAGGUUA
This 550-nucleotide ribosomal RNA is filed under the name uncultured bacterium. RNAcentral's name for it is "partial 16S ribosomal RNA". It matches the Rfam family "Bacterial small subunit ribosomal RNA", at positions 355 to 896 of the family's 1533-position model. The record is from RNAcentral.